Molecule: long non-coding RNA, 585 nt
Filed under: Olea europaea subsp. europaea
Lineage: Eukaryota; Viridiplantae; Streptophyta; Magnoliopsida; Lamiales; Oleaceae
Source: RNAcentral
CAGAAAACCACAUUGCCUCCACCCACCACCACAACUCCUCUUAGCAACCAUCGAUUCACACCACCAAACCAGCAGCAUCAACCAAUUUUUUAGGAGGAGCAAGGUUCGAGCUUUGACACUGCAAUGGAGCUAAUUUCGGUGGCUCCCUCUGCUGAUGGCUCGAAUGGGACAAUUAGGCCACCCAUAAAGAGAAACCAAGAGGAGAUGGCAAAAAGGCCGAGCUAGUUGCCUAAUAGUUGGACGAUAGAUUUGCCUAAUAAUUGGAAGAUAUAUUUGAGGGUCUAUUCCUCUCAAGCCACCGCUGGAACCAUCGAUUGGGUAUCUCUGGCUCUAAUUCACACACAUAUACACCCACACAUAGAAAUGGUCUAACUUUUGACCAAAUCUAGCCAAAGUUACUAUCAUUUUACUCAAAAUUUUGGCUUCCAUUUUGCUCAAAAUUAUUAUCGUUUUGCUAUGGCUACUCUUGGACAGUGGUGUCCACUAUUGCAAUGGCUAUUCUUCGACAGUGUGGGUCAAUCGUGGUUGGUGGCUGAGGGGCUGAAGGUCGAUUGUGGUGGGUGGUUGAGGAGCUGUUGGUUUGAU